Molecule: ribosomal RNA, 503 nt
Filed under: uncultured bacterium
Lineage: Bacteria
Description: bacterial SSU rRNA
Rfam family: Bacterial small subunit ribosomal RNA
Source: RNAcentral
GAUGAACGCUGGCGGCGUGCCUAACACAUGCAAGUCGAACGAGAAGCUAAUUUCUGAUUCCUUCGGGGAGAUGAAGUUGGUAGAAAGUGGCGAACGGGUGAGUAACGCGUGGGUAAUCUACCCUGUUAGUGGGGGAUAACCCUCCGAAAGGAGGGCUAAUACCGCAUAAGGUCUUCACUUCUUAAGAAGUAAAGAUUAAAGAUGGCCUCUAUACUAUGCUAUCGCUUCAGGAUGAGCCCGCGUCCUAUUAGUUAGUUGGUGGGGUAAUGGCCUACCAAGACCACAAUGGGUAGCCGGUCUGAGAGGAUGUACGGCCACACUGGGACUGAGAUACGGCCCAGACUCCUACGGGAGGCAGCAGUGGGGAAUAUUGCGCAAUGGGGGAAACCCUGACGCAGCGACGCCGCGUGGAUGAUGAAGGCCUUUGGGUUGUAAAAUCCUGUUCUGGGGGAAGAAACCUUAAGGGUCCAAUAAACCCUUAAGCUGACGGUACCCCGAGAGAA